This 83-nucleotide transfer RNA is filed under the name human gut metagenome. It matches the Rfam family "tRNA". From Rfam's summary of the family: Transfer RNA (tRNA) molecules are approximately 80 nucleotides in length. The record is from RNAcentral.
GAGGGGUGGCAGAGUGGUCGAAUGCGGCGGUCUUGAAAACCGUUGAGUCGCAAGGCUCCGGGGGUUCGAAUCCCUCCCCCUCC